This 534-nucleotide unclassified non-coding RNA is filed under the name Hevea brasiliensis (rubber tree). The record is from RNAcentral. Lineage: Eukaryota; Viridiplantae; Streptophyta; Magnoliopsida; Malpighiales; Euphorbiaceae.
AACAUGAGGAAGUGCAAUACACCAAAGCCAGGAUCCCAGGCUGCAAAGUCAGAGAAAAAUUCCAAACAAAAAAUGCCUGACGGAAGCUGGAAGUGCGAGAAAUGCAACAACAUAAACUAUCCAUUUAGGACCAAGUGCAAUAGACAGAAUUGUGGGGCUGAGAAACCUGCUGAAUCAAAGAAGUCCCCUUCACCAGCGGCAGAUGAGAAUGAUCAGUGAGUUCUAGGACAUGUUUGAGGUUUGAGAAGGUCCAGAGUUGUCGUCCAGCAUUGCUCAAUAUGGGUGUCUGAAAGUCAGUUGUGUCGUCCUCAUGUUGCAGCGGUUGUCAAGUUACUCUACCUUAUCAUGAUGUCUGUCAAGUUGUUGUAUUACUUGAAAUGAUACUUAUGGUCUUUAUGGAUCCUUUGAUGCAUCAUGUGUCUGCCAGUUUGAUCUGGCAAAGAUUCUACAGGUUGGUUCUGGUUUCCUUAUUAGUUAGGCUUUUGUAAUUUUUGGCAUCAACUCAUCUAUUCCAGUGGGUAUGCUACCAUGAAC